AUCACUUCUCAGCCUUUUGACUAAGAUCAAGUGUAGUAUCUGUUUUUAUCAGUUUAAUAUCUGAUAUGUCUUAUAUCUGAGGACAAUAUAUUAAAUGGAUUUUGGAGCUUGGAGUUGGAAUAGGAGCUUGCUCCAUCCACUCCACGCAUUGACCUGGUAUUUCAGUAUUUCCAGGAAUGGUGCACUCCCU
RNAcentral lists this small nuclear RNA (190 nucleotides) under Jaculus jaculus (lesser Egyptian jerboa). Its description in RNAcentral is "U2 spliceosomal RNA (ENSJJAG00000004988.1)". It matches the Rfam family "U2 spliceosomal RNA". From Rfam's summary of the family: U2 is a small nuclear RNA (snRNA) component of the spliceosome (involved in pre-mRNA splicing). Complementary binding between U2 snRNA (in an area lying towards the 5' end but 3' to hairpin I) and the branchpoint sequence (BPS) of the intron results the bulging out of an unpaired adenosine, on the BPS, which initiates a nucleophilic attack at the intronic 5' splice site, thus starting the first of two transesterification reactions that mediate splicing. The record is from Rfam by way of RNAcentral. Lineage: Eukaryota; Metazoa; Chordata; Mammalia; Rodentia; Dipodidae.